This 260-nucleotide small RNA is filed under the name Vulpes vulpes (red fox). Its description in RNAcentral is "7SK RNA (ENSVVUG00000018349.1)". It matches the Rfam family "7SK RNA". From Rfam's summary of the family: 7SK was discovered as an abundant small nuclear RNA in the mid-70s but a possible function has only recently been suggested. Lineage: Eukaryota; Metazoa; Chordata; Mammalia; Carnivora; Canidae. The record is from Rfam by way of RNAcentral.
GGGAGAUUGAUUUAGCUCUCUAAAUAGGCGUAUCCUUUCCCAUCACCCUUUGUAUCUUUUAUGAUGUUUUGCUUUCAGCUGAAGAGGAUGACCUUCCACAAAGAAGAAGGAUCAUUCUUUGAUCAAGGAUUUGUGAAGAACUCUGGUUUCUCACUAGAUCUCCCAAAUAAUUGUUCUUCCCACAUCUCCUAAAACUGGAUUUCAGUACCAAAUGCAGUAGUAGAUUGUGUACAGACAUAUGGGUUUGUGUGUGUGUGUGU